RNA transcript from Selaginella moellendorffii, 5189 nucleotides. It is a transcript of the gene named CLIP-associated protein, with no coding region annotated. The transcript has 26 exons. The record is from RefSeq and is a predicted model, not a curated record. Lineage: Eukaryota; Viridiplantae; Streptophyta; Lycopodiopsida; Selaginellales; Selaginellaceae.
GGGGAUUUUGUUCUUCUUCUUGAAUCGGUGGGUUGCCGCGAGCGAUCGGCUCGAUUUCUCGCUCGCUUUCUCCUCUCUGUUAGGUAAGAGCUGCGCCGGAUCGUAAUGGACAUUAAUCGCGCGGGCGCUUGGAAAUUUAUGGCCGCUCAUGAUUCAGGCAACCAUUUCUUUCUGCGAUCAUGAAUCUUUGAUGAGCGGCGUUCCAUCCGGCGGGCCGCAUUCUCUUCUCUGGCUUCACAGGAUUUGAUCGAGUCUUCGUCGAUCGAUCCGGCUGCAAGGCAGAAGAAAUAUUUGUUUGGCCGCUGCGUAUGACAUGGACCGGCGACCCUCUACGCUCUGGAGCUCGCAGAUUUUUCCCUGAGGUGAAGUUAGGCAGCAGGAAAUCCGGGAUCCAUACUGGAGGCUCCUCGGUGAAACUCAGGACUGGAUAGGAGAGAGCUAGGCAUUUGGAUCUAUGUGAGGAUUAUGGGAAAAGACCGGGCUUGGUAGAUGCGGUGUUGGGUGCUCCGUGCAUUGUUGUUCCCUUCGCCAUGGAGGAAGCACUUACGCAGGUGCAGGCAAAAGACACCAAGGAAAGGAUGGCUGGAGUGGAGAUGCUCCAGACUUUACUUGAGCAGCGUAGGAAAGGGCUUUCAGCUAGCGAAGUAGGGAGCAUAGUGGAUGCAACCAGGGGACUGCUCACGGAUAACAACUUCAGGGUUUGCCAAGGGGCUCUCCAGGUUCUUGCAUCGGCGUCAGCACUAGCAGGCGAGCAUCUUAAAGUUCACUUUAACGUUCUUGUCCCGGCCAUCGUGGAGUGCCUCGGGGAUGCCAAACAACCGGUCCGUGAUGCGGCUAAUCGGCUUAUACUGGCACUCAUGGAGAUAUCAUCUCCAACUAUUAUAGUUGAGAGAGCGGGAAGCACGGCUUGGACUCACAGAAACUGGAGAGUUCGAGAAGAGUUUAUGCGAACAAUGGCAUCAGCCGUGAGCCUCUUUUCGGCGAAGGAGAUCACAUUGCAACGCUUCAUUCUUCCUUCCGCCUUGCAAUUGUUGAGCGAUCCCAACAGCGCAGUGAGGGAAGCUUCUAUGUUGUGUUUGGAGGAAAUGCAUCGUCAGGUUGGAUCACAGUUUCGCGACGAGCUCCAGCGUCAGCCUAUACAGCCGGCACAGAUGACAGAAAUUAUCUCGAAGCUUGAAAGGAUGGAUUCAAAGUCUCGUCCCUUCGAAAGCUUAGCCAGGCAAGGUGGCGCAGACAACAACAAACCAAUGACUAGUCCGUCUGGAAGUUUUAAAAGGCAAAGUCCGAGAGGAAAGCCCGCACCUUUAGAUGUUCCGUCAUAUUCAGGCGAGGUGGACUCUCCCGAACAACCCGUGGAUCCUAUUAAAGUGUAUUCAGAAAGGGAGCUAGUGAGGGAGAUGGAAAAGAUCUGUUCCACGUUGACGCAGGACCAGGAUUGGUCCGUAAGAAUGGCUGCACUACAAAGGGUUGAAGGGCUUGUCUACGGAGGGGCUACUGAUUUCCAGUCUUUUCCUUCCUUGCUGAAGCAAUUAACUCCCCCUCUGAAUGUCCAGCUUUCUGAUCGGCGCUCUAGUAUCGUCAAGCAGGCUUGCCAUCUCUUGAAUAUUUUGUCUAGAGAAUUAUUAUCUGAUUUCGAGGCAUGCGCAGAGUCCUUCAUACCUAUGCUAUUUAAGCUCGUUGUUAUUACUGUUCAAGUUAUUGCCGAGUCAGCCGAUAAUUGUAUAAAAACGAUUCUGCGUAAUUGUCGAGUUUCGCGAAUGCUUCCGCGAAUUGUUGAUAUUGCAAAAAAUGACCGCAGUGGUGUCUUGAGAGCAAGGUGUUGUGAAUACGCUCUUUUGAUACUAGAACAGUGGCCGGAUACUCCAGAAAUCCAACGUUCAGCCGAACUUUAUGAAGAUCUUAUCAAAUGCUGUGUUGUAGAUGCUAUGAGCGAGGUACGCUCAACGGCAAGAUCAUGUUAUCGACUUUUUGCUAAGACGUGGCCUGAACGAUCCCAAAAACUUUUCUUCUCUUUUGAUCCGGCUAUUCAGCGUCUUAUAAACGACGAAGAAAGAGGAUUUCAUAAACGAUACUCGUCUCCAGCAUCGCGCACCAGGGGUAACCCGUUGAGGGCUUCAUUGACUGUCGUCUCGAAGUCAACCCCUGUUACUCCCCAGACAGUUCCUAUUAUCGCAAUGGACAGACGUGCGAGUUUCUCGUCGGGUGGAGCUCAUUCGAGAACGAGCGAGCAAGAGAGAAGCUUAGAAAGCAUUUUACAAGCAAGCCAACAGCGGGUAAACGCAAUAGAGACGAUGCUGAGGGGCGUUGAUAUAUCUGACGUGAAAGGUCCUCUAUCUAAGGCUACCGCCAAAGCAAGCCCCAAGGCUGUGGAUUUACCAUCCUCUCGUGAUCCACCUUUUCCGGCUUCAGCGUCGUCCGCCGUGGGAGGCAGUACUACAGUUUCUAGCGCUUACACUGGCGAUCUCUACGGUACUGCACCUGGAGCUUUGUUAUCUCCUCAACGCAUGCUUUCUGACACGAAGAGAGGCAUGGUCUACAACGGUUUGAGUCAAGACAGUGAUCGGGUUAAUGCGAGGGUAUCAGUCAUGGACAGAUUCAACUGGAGCAGCUCUAGCUUGAUGGCUGAAGGCAGGGAAGGUAAGCGGACUCCAAGGGGUGAUAACCAAGGUGGAGUUCCAGGAUUCCAGAGACCACUUCUUAGAAACAGCAGCUCGGGGAGGUCGCCGUCUGCCACUAGAAGCCAUGGUGAUACUAUGCAGGGGUCCUACGAAGCGUUUAGCAGUAACGGGUCCACAAUACAACUCCACGAAGCUCUUGGAGAAGGCCUUAGUCCCAAUGCCGACUGGUCGGCACGGGUUGGCGCUUUUACUUUCAUCAGGGAUCUGCUUCAGAACGGCAUAAAGGGACUACAGGAAAUAACGCAGAGCUUUGAGAAGAUUAUGAAGCUCUUCUUUGCACACUUGGACGAUCCACAUCACAAAGUUGCGCAGGCAGCUCUGUCAACCUUGAAUGAGCUCGUUCCAGUUUGCAGAAAACCGUUUGAGUCGUACUUGGAGCGCAUUUUACCUCACGUCUUCUCCAGAUUGGUCGACCCGAAGGAAAUCAUACGGCAGCUCAGUGCAUCAGUUCUUGAGACGGUUGGCUCGACUUACACCAUUGAGUCGUUGCUCCCUGCUUUGUUGCGAUCCCUCGACGAGCAGCGGUCACUUAAGGCCAAAGUCGCUAUCAUCGAAUUUGCCAACAAUGCACUCAGUAAGCUCACGCUCUCAGGGGAAAUACCAGGUGGUAGUGGACUGAUGAGGUUGUGGCUGGCAAAGAUUGCUCCUCUAGUGAACGAUAAAAACCCGAAGCUUAAGGAUAUUGCUGUCAACAGUCUUAUAGCAGUUUAUACUCACUACGAUUCCGGCGCAGUCCUGAACUUCAUUCUCAACUUAUCCAUCGAAGAGCAAGCCAGCUUACGUCGUGCAUUAAAACAGUACACUCCUCGCAUAGAAGUGGACCUCGUCGCAGUUCUGCAGAGCAAGCAUCAGCGAGGGAAGAAGUCAGGCAAUGAUCAAAAUGACUACUCUACCAUGUCCGUCGAUGGUGGAGGUAGAGCCUACUCGACCUUGAUGAGAAGCCAGCCGCCUGGAAGCUAUUCUUCCGGAUCCAUAAACAGCGACUCUGGUAGAAAGUGGAGCUCCAUGCAGUCCGACUCAGUGCAGUAUAACGCCAGAAUGAACGGUCAGUCCAAAGAAAAUGAUGCGAGCGCCAUCAGCUCAAACAACUUCAGGAGCGUGUCGAGUAUCGAGGACGUUUCUCAGUCUAAGAAGGCCGGAUUGCGAAGUUCUGGAGAUAAGCUCGAUAGAAUGUCCCAAACACGCAGACUGAGCACCGAGGACCUGAGGAAUAUGGUCGACAGUAUUGAACAUAAUAAGGCUGACGAGACUAGUUUGGAAAAGCGUCAACAGAAAAAUGAGGCAGACGAAGCAUACAAACAGCUCUUUUCUCAGGAGUCUAGCAAGGUACCUCUAGCGGAAGAAGUCAAGCCUUCGGAGGCAAACGGAUCAAGUUUCGACGAUCUUCCGAGUAUUCCAUCGCUGCUUAUACAGAUGUCUAAUGUGGAGGAUUCAAGUAAACGAUCAGGUGCUCUCGAAGAUUUUCUCGCGAUAUUUCGUAAAGCCGAUGCUAGCAGCUGGUCACAGUAUUUUAACCAGAUCCUCACGGCCGUUCUCGAAGCAUUUGAUGAUCCGAAUAAUGCCAUUCGCGAGCUUGCUUUAUCCGUUAUCUUCGAAAUGCUAAAUAAUCAGAGAGCGAUGAUGGAAGAACCAACAGAGCUGCUGGUAGAGAAACUUCUGCAUGCAAGCAAAGACCAGACGCCAAAGGUUGCUGCUGGGGCAGACGCGUGCCUGACCGUUGUACUUAAAGAAUUCGAUGCCUAUCGCUGCCUCUCGGUUGUUGUUCCUCUUCUCGUGAACGAAGACGUGAGAACCUUGAUUACUUGUAUAAGCUGCCUAACUAAGCUUGUAUCCCGUCUUCCACAACAAGAGCUCAUGGAGCAGCUACCGUCUUUCCUCCCGGCUCUCUUCGACGCGUUUGGCAACCAAAACGCCGACGUUCGCAAGACUGUUGUCUUUUGCUUGGUGGACAUCUACAUCGCACUCGGAAAAGCAUUCGUCCCGUAUCUGAGCAGCCUCAGCAGCAACCAGUUACGGCUGGUCACGAUUUACGCGAACAGAAUCGCACAGGCUCGUACUGGGACCCCUGUCGAGCAGCAGCAGCAGCAGCAGCAAGCGGCAGCGGCAACACCCACACAGUAACACACACAGGAUUUUCGCGAGAGAAAGUUUACAUAAAUCCAGCAGAGUUUCUAGUAGAGCUAAAGGGAGUGGAAGAAGUGGGCGGGGAAAGAAGAGAUCUUCGAAGCGGCGGAGGUGGAUCAAGAGGUGGAGGAUCCAGAGGAAGCGGUGGAUCGAAAGGAGGAGAAUCAAAAGGAGGAUCGAGAGGAGGAAGGAUUCCAAGGAGCCCAGUAAUCGUAGCUGGUGGAUCUCAUCGCCACAGUGACUCUUCUCGGUGCUCCGCCAGCGCCACUGCCACCGCCGCCACCGCCGCCAUCGCCGCCGCUUUGGCUUUCCUGUAAGGACGUGGAAUAUGCUUCUUGUACAUUUGGCAUCUACUGUUUUGAGUAAAAACCUUUUUUUUUUCGUGUU